AAUCCGGCCGAUCCGGCCACCAAUUGGACCGGGUCUUGUGUCCAAAAUCAUCUACUCGGCGAGAGCUUUCCAUAGACACCAAGAACGCUGAAAUCCAUCGAGCGGAUUGUCCGAUUUUUGCUCGGGAAGAUUUUAGCCCAUUUCGACUUUUGGGCUAGAUUUCUCGAAAACCGUGAAUCCCACGAGAAAACCGAGGCCACCAGCACGCUCCAUUCGUCGAGAGCUUCGCAACGACAUAAAUUUCGAAUUUUUCCGACACCGUUUUUUGGUAUCCUCGAUUCGCGGAAAUUCGACAGUUGACCGGGUCUGCAAAAUUCCGGCCAGACAGACCCGUUACCGGAAAAGUCCCCGAAUUGGAUCGAGGUUUUGGCUAGCCCCCCAUUGUCAGACGUCCCGAGCGCGUUCCCGAAGUCGGAAUCGGCAAAGGUGAGCCGGGACAGCCUUCUUCCUCCGCCCAGCCGCCACAGUGAUUGUCGUCAAGUCUGUGAGUAGAAUAUUAAUUUUAAUUGUAAUUUCGAUAUUAUUAUAUGUUCAGCAUGCCCAUGCAUCACUUAUAUGCAUAUAUUUAUGUAGUUAAACUCUAGUUACGAUUUUUGAUGCAUUGAUAAAUGUUAAAGUGCCAUGUAUGUUGUUGUGGUAAUUUGGAGCAGUGUGCGUGUGAUGUGGUGUGGACUAUGGAUAGGACGGGUAGAUACGGCUUGAGUUCUUCGCUGGGACCCGGUCCUUCGGGGUAGACACGGCUUGAGUUCUUCGCUGGGACCCCGAUUUGGUA
Long non-coding RNA from Hevea brasiliensis (rubber tree), 772 nucleotides. RefSeq lists it as uncharacterized. The record is from RefSeq and is a predicted model, not a curated record. Lineage: Eukaryota; Viridiplantae; Streptophyta; Magnoliopsida; Malpighiales; Euphorbiaceae. The transcript has 3 exons.